ACUCCACGGGAGGCAGCAGUGGGGAAUAUUGCACAAUGGGCGCAAGCCUGAUGCAGCCAUGCCGCGUGUGUGAAGAAGGCCUUCGGGUUGUAAAGCACUUUCAGUAAGGAGGAAAGGUUAAGUGUUAAUAGCGCUUAGCUGUGACGUUACUUACAGAAGAAGCACCGGCUAACUCCGUGCCAGCAGCCGCGGUAAUACGGAGGGUGCGAGCGUUAAUCGGAAUUACUGGGCGUAAAGCGUACGCAGGCGGUUUGUUAAGCGAGAUGUGAAAGCCCCGGGCUCAACCUGGGAACUGCAUUUCGAACUGGCAAACUAGAAUGUGAUAGAGGGUGGUAGAAUUUCAGGUGUAGCGGUGAAAUGCGUAGAGAUCUGAAGGAAUACCGAUGGCGAAGGCAGCCACCUGGGUCAACACUGACGCUCAUGUACGAAAGCGUGGGGAGCAAACAGGAUUAGAUACCCUGGUAGUCCACGCCGUAAACGAUGUCUACUAGAAGCUCGGGUCUCCGGACUUGUUUUUCAAAGCUAACGCAUUAAGUAGACCGCCUGGGGAGUACGGCCGCAAGGUUAAAACUCAAAUGAAUUGACGGA
Molecule: ribosomal RNA, 588 nt
Filed under: uncultured Pseudoalteromonas sp.
Lineage: Bacteria; Pseudomonadati; Pseudomonadota; Gammaproteobacteria; Alteromonadales; Pseudoalteromonadaceae
Description: bacterial SSU rRNA
Rfam family: Bacterial small subunit ribosomal RNA
Source: RNAcentral